This 1946-nucleotide ribosomal RNA is filed under the name Salmonella enterica. RNAcentral's name for it is "partial 23S ribosomal RNA". It matches the Rfam family "Bacterial large subunit ribosomal RNA", at positions 711 to 2637 of the family's 2925-position model. Lineage: Bacteria; Pseudomonadati; Pseudomonadota; Gammaproteobacteria; Enterobacterales; Enterobacteriaceae. RNAcentral also lists the same sequence under 1 other name. The record is from RNAcentral.
AGACCCGAAACCCGGUGAUCUAGCCAUGGGCAGGUUGAAGGUUGGGUAACACUAACUGGAGGACCGAACCGACUAAUGUUGAAAAAUUAGCGGAUGACCUGUGGCUGGGGGUGAAAGGCCAAUCAAACCGGGAGAUAGCUGGUUCUCCCCGAAAGCUAUUUAGGUAGCGCCUCGUGAACUCAUCUCCGGGGGUAGAGCACUGUUUCGGCUAGGGGGCCAUCCCGGCUUACCAACCCGAUGCAAACUGCGAAUACCGGAGAAUGUUAUCACGGGAGACACACGGCGGGUGCUAACGUCCGUCGUGAAGAGGGAAACAACCCAGACCGCCAGCUAAGGUCCCAAAGUCAUGGUUAAGUGGGAAACGAUGUGGGAAGGCCCAGACAGCCAGGAUGUUGGCUUAGAAGCAGCCAUCAUUUAAAGAAAGCGUAAUAGCUCACUGGUCGAGUCGGCCUGCGCGGAAGAUGUAACGGGGCUAAACCAUGCACCGAAGCUGCGGCAGCGACACUUUAGUGUUGUUGGGUAGGGGAGCGUUCUGUAAGCCGUUGAAGGUGUCCUGUGAGGGGUGCUGGAGGUAUCAGAAGUGCGAAUGCUGACAUAAGUAACGAUAAAGCGGGUGAAAAGCCCGCUCGCCGGAAGACCAAGGGUUCCUGUCCAACGUUAAUCGGGGCAGGGUGAGUCGACCCCUAAGGCGAGGCCGAAAGGCGUAGUCGAUGGGAAACGGGUUAAUAUUCCCGUACUUGGUGUUACUGCGAAGGGGGGACGGAGAAGGCUAUGUUGGCCGGGCGACGGUAGUCCCGGUUUAAGCGUGUAGGUGUGUGUUCCAGGCAAAUCCGGUUCACUUUAACACUGAGGCGUGAUGACGAGGCACCACGGUGCUGAAGCAACAAAUGCCCUGCUUCCAGGAAAAGCCUCUAAGCAUCAGGUAACAUCAAAUCGUACCCCAAACCGACACAGGUGGUCAGGUAGAGAAUACCAAGGCGCUUGAGAGAACUCGGGUGAAGGAACUAGGCAAAAUGGUGCCGUAACUUCGGGAGAAGGCACGCUGACACGUAGGUGAAGUGAUUUACUCACGGAGCUGAAGUCAGUCGAAGAUACCAGCUGGCUGCAACUGUUUAUUAAAAACACAGCACUGUGCAAACACGAAAGUGGACGUAUACGGUGUGACGCCUGCCCGGUGCCGGAAGGUUAAUUGAUGGGGUCAGCGCAAGCGAAGCUCCUGAUCGAAGCCCCGGUAAACGGCGGCCGUAACUAUAACGGUCCUAAGGUAGCGAAAUUCCUUGUCGGGUAAGUUCCGACCUGCACGAAUGGCGUAAUGAUGGCCAGGCUGUCUCCACCCGAGACUCAGUGAAAUUGAACUCGCUGUGAAGAUGCAGUGUACCCGCGGCAAGACGGAAAGACCCCGUGAACCUUUACUAUAGCUUGACACUGAACAUUGAGCCUUGAUGUGUAGGAUAGGUGGGAGGCUUUGAAGCGUGGACGCCAGUCUGCGUGGAGCCGACCUUGAAAUACCACCCUUUAAUGUUUGAUGUUCUAACGUGGACCCGUAAUCCGGGUUGCGGACAGUGUCUGGUGGGUAGUUUGACUGGGGCGGUCUCCUCCUAAAGAGUAACGGAGGAGCACGAAGGUUGGCUAAUCCUGGUCGGACAUCAGGAGGUUAGUGCAAUGGCAUAAGCCAGCUUGACUGCGAGCGUGACGGCGCGAGCAGGUGCGAAAGCAGGUCAUAGUGAUCCGGUGGUUCUGAAUGGAAGGGCCAUCGCUCAACGGAUAAAAGGUACUCCGGGGAUAACAGGCUGAUACCGCCCAAGAGUUCAUAUCGACGGCGGUGUUUGGCACCUCGAUGUCGGCUCAUCACAUCCUGGGGCUGAAGUAGGUCCCAAGGGUAUGGCUGUUCGCCAUUUAAAGUGGUACGCGAGCUGGGUUUAGAACGUCGUGAGACAGUUCGGUCC